CGCUGGCGGCGUGCCUAACACAUGCAAGUCGAGCGAGGAGAUCCUUCGGGAUGAUCCUAGCGGCGGACGGGUGAGUAACACGUGGGCAACCUGCCUCAUAGAGAGGAAUAGCCUUCCGAAAGGGAGAUUAAUACCUCAUAACAUUGCAGUUUCGCAUGGAACAGCAAUUAAAGGAGUAAUCCGCUAUGAGAUGGGCCCGCGGCGCAUUAGCUAGUUGGUGAGGUAACGGCUCACCAAGGCGACGAUGCGUAGCCGACCUGAGAGGGUGAUCGGCCACAUUGGGACUGAGACACGGCCCAGACUCCUACGGGAGGCAGCAGUGGGGAAUAUUGCACAAUGGGGGAAACCCUGAUGCAGCAACGCCGCGUGAGUGAUGACGGCCUUCGGGUUGUAAAGCUCUGUCUUCAGGGACGAUAAUGACGGUACCUGAGGAGGAAGCCACGGCUAACUACGUGCCAGCAGCAGC
This 466-nucleotide ribosomal RNA is filed under the name uncultured bacterium. RNAcentral's name for it is "bacterial SSU rRNA". It matches the Rfam family "Bacterial small subunit ribosomal RNA", at positions 34 to 518 of the family's 1533-position model. The record is from RNAcentral.